GGAGAAGGAGGGCUAUCUGGCUGUGACAUCUGUUACCCCAUUGACGGCUGGGGUUGAUUCAGCUGAUCUGGCUGGCCAGGCAGUGCCCCCUUCCUCCCUCAUCACUCCUUGUGCCUCCCUCCCGAAGUGGCACACUCUAUGGAAGAGAACAACCUUCCCCGAAGGAGGAGGACCAUUCUCUGGUCAAGAGUAUGUGAGUACUUGACCUAUCCUGCUAGAACCUCCAAACAAGCUCUCAAGAUCCAUUUGUAGGAGAAGGUAGCGUUGUCAAUCUUCCAAGACUCCAGACACAUUCAAAUGAGGUGCUUUUU
This 311-nucleotide small nuclear RNA is filed under the name Vulpes vulpes (red fox). Its description in RNAcentral is "7SK RNA (ENSVVUG00000016035.1)". It matches the Rfam family "7SK RNA". From Rfam's summary of the family: 7SK was discovered as an abundant small nuclear RNA in the mid-70s but a possible function has only recently been suggested. The record is from RNAcentral. Lineage: Eukaryota; Metazoa; Chordata; Mammalia; Carnivora; Canidae.